UCUCCGUUGGUGAACCAGCGGAGGGAUCAUUAUUAGCGCGUUUUUCUAGCACGCAAACCCCCUGUGAACAUACCUAACGUUCCUUCGGCGGGAUCGCCCCAGCUGCCCUGAGCGCCGGAACCAGGCCCCCGCCGCAAGACCUUAAACUCUGUUUUAUUAUAGUUGUUUACUCUGAGUAGCUUCUAAAGCAAAGAAAUAAAUCAAAACUUUCAACAACGGAUCUCUUGGUUCUGGCAUCGAUGAAGAACGCAGC
This 253-nucleotide unclassified non-coding RNA is filed under the name uncultured fungus. RNAcentral's name for it is "sequence contains ITS1, 5.8S rRNA gene". The stretch from base 205 to 253 matches the Rfam family "5.8S ribosomal RNA", at positions 1 to 49 of the family's 154-position model. The record is from RNAcentral. Lineage: Eukaryota; Fungi.